Molecule: ribosomal RNA, 253 nt
Filed under: uncultured bacterium
Lineage: Bacteria
Description: partial 16S ribosomal RNA
Rfam family: Bacterial small subunit ribosomal RNA
Source: RNAcentral
UACGGAGGGGGCUAGCGUUGUUCGGAAUUACUGGGCGUAAAGCGCACGUAGGCGGCUUUGUAAGUUAGAGGUGGAAGCCCGGGGCUCAACUCCGGAAUUGCCUUUAAGACUGCAUCGCUAGAACGUCGGAGAGGUAAGUGGAAUUCCGAGUGUAGAGGUGAAAUUCGUAGAUAUUCGGAAGAACACCAGUGGCGAAGGCGACUUACUGGACGACUGUUGACGCUGAGGUGCGAAAGCGUGGGGAGCAAACAGG